UGAGCGCUGCUGAGUUGUGCAAGGGCACACCAAAAGGGCCUACUGCCUGCCUGGGAGGCGCUGCCCCUGCGAAAAAGUCUUCCUCUCUGCGAGCGCAAGGGGAUUAGGCAGCAGGGGUGAGGCUGGCCCACGGGUGGCCAGGAAGCAAAGGGGGAGCAGGCUUGGGUAGCCAGCAGCAGCCAAAGGAAGACCCGAGGGCUGCCAAAGCCCGGGAUCGAUCCAGGGACCUUUAGAUCUUCAGUCUAACGCUCUCCCAACUGAGCUACUCCGGCUGCCAGGGGGCCUGUGGUGGCUCUGGCUGGGCCUUCCUCCCCAGGCCCUGAGCCCAAGGUGGAAGGCUGGGCUUGGGGCUCUGGGCUGCAGGCGCCUGGGCCUCUUGCCUGGCUCCGGGACCUGCGGCUGCUUGGCCAGUGCCCGUGCUUGACAAGGGGAGCCAAGAAGUGGCAAGGCCUGUGGCACAAUUGCCACCGUCUGUGUCCCUCUCCAGAAAUCUGUCUCUGCCAGCGUGAGAGGCUGGUGUUGAAUUCCUCAGGGCGGGGGAUCACAAAAGCCUGGUGCCUCCGAAGAGGAUUCUCUGGUCGGUGGGGAGGGGGAGGGAAAAAGCCCCUUCAGGGGCCCAGGUGACCCGUGAUGCUUUGUAAGUUGGUUGGCUAGUGGCCAGCACUGGCAGCUUCGAUUGGCCCGGGCUGCUGAGGUCAGAAAGGUUAUUUAAAGGCCCGGUCCAGGAAGAAGGCAGCCAUUAGCCAUGCGGUCAUCGAGAUGCAUCUGAAACUGGCAGAGGAGCUUCACCAUCUGAAACUGGCUUUCUCCUCAAAGAGUGACCUGCCUCCAGAGCAAAACUGCAACCAGCUCUGGAUGAUGCGGGGCCUGCCAAUGGCACAGGAGACGAGCUCGGAGAGCAAUUUGUUUGCUACCUUGUGGGCGUUUUGGAUCAGCCCUGAGAGGGAGCCUGGCUGAGUCCCCCAAAACAUCUGCUGAGGUGAGUGGGACGCAGCCCUGUGGCAAGGAUUGCAGGGUCUAAACAGAAAUGCUUUGUUUGUGAAGUUACAAAAUGCAGCAAUUGAGCACCCUGCAGGCUAAGUACCCCCACUUCAGGCUGGAAAGGUGCCAUGAAUACAUCCCACGGCAUCCAGCUAGCAGAUACUUAAGAUGCUUCUGGGGGCUGUACCAUGGCAGUACCCAAGCCCUCCCAGGAAAAGGAUUUUGGACAGACGACCUCCUGGUGCCCUCCCGAGGGCAUGAACCAAGGAUGAUGCCAUGUCUGGGAAGAAGCCAGGGCAGGCAGAGACAGGAAAAACUUGGAGUCCUGGUCAGCUUCGACCCACUGGGAAGGGGAGGAUCCAGCAUGUCUUGGAGUCAUUGCAAAAGAUUCCAGGCAAGAACUGUGCAGCUUGGUGCAGCAUCCGAAAUCUGCUUUCUAUGCCACUAAAGAUGAUUCUACGGCUGUACUAUGGCAGUUCCCACGCCUCUCUGGGAACACGGACUGUGACCCGCGACCCCCAGCUCUCUCCUGGACCUGGUCUGCAGGACAUCAAGCAUGAAGGAGUGGAUGUGGGGGCUGUAUGAUGUAGGGCAGAAAAUCAGCACCAGAAAGCUACUCCCUCUGUUCUACCCCUUCCCUCUCCAGCCCUCACCACCCUCCCUGCCUCUCCUUUCCCCCUAUAUAUUAUGUUAGGUUAGGCUAGGUUAAGUUAUAUUAUAUUGUUUUAUUUCCUAUUA
Long non-coding RNA from Alligator mississippiensis (American alligator), 1719 nucleotides. RefSeq lists it as uncharacterized. The record is from RefSeq and is a predicted model, not a curated record. The transcript is spliced from 9 exons. NCBI's taxonomy places the organism in Eukaryota, Metazoa, Chordata, Crocodylia, Alligatoridae.